This is a non-coding RNA of Pelobates cultripes (western spadefoot toad), 763 nucleotides long. Lineage: Eukaryota; Metazoa; Chordata; Amphibia; Anura; Pelobatidae. The record is from the annotation of a GenBank genome assembly.
GUGCUGUUUGUGUGUGAGGGUACUGGUAGUGUGCUGUGUGUGUAUUUGUUAGGGUCCUGUUUGUGAGGGUACUGUUAGUGUGCUGUGUGAGGGUGCUGUUUGUGUGCUGUGUGUGAGGGUGCUGUUUGUGUGCUGUGUGUGUUUGUGAGGGUGCUGUAUGUGUGUUGGUGCUGUAUGUGUCACGAUUCCGGAACCUAACACGCUAACAGGUCACAGAGAGGAAGGUUGCUAUACCGGUCCUUAGAGUGGCCGGGCUAAGCACGCUAAGAAUAGUCAGGAGACAAGCCAACUAAAGGGAGCCAGAAAACAGGAGAACGAGAAACAAGCCGAGGUCAAAGGAGCGGAGAAGACAGGAUAAACGGAAUAACGAGCCAAAUAAUCGGUAACCAGAGAGCAAGACGAGAACACUACGCUACAGGGAUCACAAGACCACAACAGGGCACUGAGGGACAGGAAAGGUAAGUAUAAAUACCCUUGGUUUAAUUCUGAUUGGAUAAUUUCCAAUCAGAAUUAACAAUCACACGUGGGGGAUAUCUAUACCUCUCACUGUGAUUGUGGUACUGUUCCUUUAACGCCGGGUCACUCACGUGACCCCGGCGAUUACAUAAGUCAGUGACCUCCCAGCGUGCAGCGUUAUACAUGCUGCCGCUGGGGGGCGUGGAGGACGAGAGCGGCGAGCGGCAGAGAGGAGACGCCACUCGCCGACAGGUAAGCGGAGCGGAUCCCUGACAGUAUGUGGGUUGGUGCUGUGUAUGUCUGUGGG